Molecule: ribosomal RNA, 460 nt
Filed under: uncultured bacterium
Lineage: Bacteria
Description: partial 16S ribosomal RNA
Rfam family: Bacterial small subunit ribosomal RNA
Source: RNAcentral
CCUACGGGCGUCAGCAGUGAGGAAUAUUGGUCAAUGGGCGCGAGCCUGAACCAGCCAAGUAGCGUGAAGGAUGACUGCCCUACGGGUUGUAAACUUCUUUUAUAAAGGAAUAAAGUGAGGCACGUGUGCCUUUUUGUAUGUACGUUAGGAAUAAGGAUCGGCUAACUCCGUGCCAGCAGCAGCGGUAAUACGGAGGAUCCGAGCGUUAUCCGGAUUAAUGGGGUUGAAAGGGAGCGUAGAUGGGUGUUUAAGUCAGUUGUGAAAGUUUGCGGCUCAACCGUAAAAUUGCAAUUGAUACUGGCAGCCUUGAGUACAUUUGAGGUAGGCGGAAUUCGUGGUGUAGCGGUGAAAUGCUUAGAUAUCACGAAGAACUCCGAUUGCGAAGGCAGCCUACUAAACUGCCACUGACAUUGAUGCUCGAAAGUGUGGGUAUCAAACAGGAUUAGAUACCCCUGUAGUC